UACGGAGGGGGCAAGCGUUGUUCGGAGUGACUGGGCGUAAAGGGCUCGUAGGUGGUUUAUCAAGUUAUCGGUCAAAAAUGAGAGCUUAACUUUCAUCCGGCCGGUAAAACUGGUAGACUAGAGUAUCGGAGAGGAAUGCGGAAUAUCUGGUGUAGCGGUGGAAUGCGCAGAUAUCAGAUGGAACACCUUUUGCGAAGGCGGCAUUCUGGUCGAUAACUGACACUGAGGAGCGAAAGCGUGGGUAGCAAACAGG
This 253-nucleotide ribosomal RNA is filed under the name uncultured bacterium. RNAcentral describes it as "partial 16S ribosomal RNA". It matches the Rfam family "Bacterial small subunit ribosomal RNA", at positions 524 to 776 of the family's 1533-position model. The record is from RNAcentral.